ACAUUGCUAAUAUAUAUGAGGGAUAGGAGGAACGGAACAGUAGUACGUAUUGUUCCGUUUUUGCGGGAAGGCAAAAGCCCUUAUAUACUAACUGCAUACUGCAUAGGUGUAGUACACGGCAAGUACGCGUGUAGUAAACGUGUAAUAGAGGUGUAUGAGUUGACAUAUAUAUGUUUCCCAACUCAUAUUAUAUAAGUCAUAUAGUAUCGUUGGCCAAAAUUAACAAAGUAUCGAUAUAUCCGCUCUUAAAAAAUUGUUUCUCCUCAGCUUUUACAAUAUUUUUUGUAAAUAUAUAGUAUAAUUAAAUGCUAACAAUAAAAGCGAAGGUAUUUCAUUCUUAUUGGAGUGAUUUUUACACUAAAAAUAAAGCGCUUUGCUGCUUCUACAGUUUUGUACAAUCACGUGGGCAUGCAACGAUAAGUCUUUCGGUUUUAAACUCUUUCUCACCAAAAUGGCAAAUUUCAUGGCAACGGUCGAUAAGAAACUUCGAUCAGAAUUGUCACAAAUUCACAAUCAUGCAAGCAUAUUAGUAGAAUUUGCGAACAAUGACAAUUCAUUAGCUGUAGGAUUCACAGCAUGGCUUGAAAAAGAUGAUGCUGCCAGAAUAGAUGAUAUCAUUUUGUUGGAAGAGGAAGUCACAAUCUUCUGGCCCACAUGUGACACUCAAUCUGCUGCUCUUUUAAAACCAAAGCUUCGAAAAGUAAAUUUUGUUAAGCAUGUUGUGAAAGUACUAGCCUAUGGUGAAUGGACAGAUGUGAAGGAACAAAUGGAAAAUAAAGUAAAAUAUGAUAAACUGAAUGUUUCACUAAAUAGCCGUAAAAUUAUCAAAAAGAAGGAAUUUCAUGGCGAGAAACAAAACGACACUCUACCACCCAAGAAAAAGAAAAGAAAAAAUAGCAAAGUAGAACAAAUACAAAAUGAGGCGUUCCUGCAUAGUAUAAAUCAAGAGGAUACAGUAACACUGGAUUCAAGCAACAAUGUCAACUGCUAUAAGCAUUAUUCAGAGAAAGCUAUGCAGAAAAACAAGAACGCAAGUCUAAAGAGGAAACAUGUGGCUAAACUAGAUUAUGACGAUGUAUAUAAUAGUAACGAUUCUGACGGUGAAGUACCAAGUAAUUCACAGUCAGUUAAAUCAAAAGAUUCAAAUCUCUCUACUUCUGACCCAAAGAAGAAAAGUAAGAAUGCGCAUGAUAAAGAAAAUCCUUAUGACAAAAAACAUGAUCAUUUUGAUUUGUCAUAUUCCGAUGACAUUGAAAUAGUCAAUAAAGACAGAGAGAACAGAGCCACAACUCCUUUGCACGAAUUAAAUAAAUCAAAAGAUUUAUUGCUUUCUGAUGAUGGUGAUGGACAAUUCAAUGAUGAUGAAGACGAUAGAAAAAAUAAAAUUCCCACCACCAAAGCAAAAAAAAAGGACAGAAGGAACGUGUGACAUACACUACGCAAGAGUUAGCUUUGGAAACUCAAGAAGGAAUGCCAGAACUUCCUUUAAGUAAGCAAAUCUUGCUCACAUUACCCAAGAACGAUGUGAGGAAGUAUGCUUCUGUGCUUGUAUCAAACGUAUUUACAACCUUGGAAUUAAGAACCCAUUCAGUGACAGGUGAAGCACCAAACUCUAACCCUACUAUGAAGGUUGCGCGUGAACUUCCACGAAUUCGAAAGCAGUAUAUAUACGAUACGGUUCAAAAAGUAUUUAGCGUGUCGACGGCUGUCAGGGCAAAAGUAAACAAGGUUUUGUCUAAUAAGAUAAGUGCAGCCAGGAGGACCUGAACGAAGUGAUAGAAAGAACUAAAAUAUUCCAAAAAUGUAAACCAGGGUGCCAAAAUAUCUGCUUCAAAAUUCUGGCCUAAAAAUGCUAUUUUGCAUUGUCUGAAGGGAUACACUAUAAAAUUAAAUAAGGAUGAAACAGAGUAUUUGAUAAAUGCUAAUUUAGAUUUUUCGAUCAUGUCUACAGAAGAAGCAGAGAAUGAUAAACUCUGGUUAGGACCUGGUUCAUACGUCAAUCGUGACUGUAACCCUAACACAAAGUUGUACUCAUCAAAAAUGAAUGGUGAACUUUGCCUUCGAGCUGUAAAAGACAUACCAGAAGGAGAAGAAAUAACGUGGCGUUAUGGAGAAAACUAUUUUAUAGAUGGUGAAUGCGAAUGUGUCACAUGCCAAACAAAAGAUGUAAAUAAAAAUAAUAAAGCUCUGGAAGUUGAGUCACUUAUGUCUACAAAGGAACCUUUUGUUAAUGUUGAUCAGUUAUGUACGGAACAAACAGGUACAUAUAUUUUUAACGAUUCUACAGGAGCUACAAAUGAGAAAUUUGACUAUGCAAUGGAGGGGUUGAAUAUAUCUAAUAAUAGCAUAAGUUGUACAAUAAAUCCUUACGUAACGGUUAACUUGAACGGUUAACAAUUAAAAAUAUAAAUUCAUCGAAUUGCAGUAUAGAUUCUAUAUCGAAUGUAUCAAGUGAACCACCUGAAGAUAUUUCAAAUUUGUCAAUGAACACAAUCAAUAAUAUUCUGGGAAUAACAGAUUCGUAAUAAGUGUAUAAAAGUUGAUAAAAUACAAUUUUUAUUAAAAAAAAUUAUAAAGGCUUAUUUUUUCUAAUAUAUAUUCUAAUCCUAAGGUUGUCAUAUUGUUAAUUUUUUAUUAGGAUUUAUGCCUAUCAAUAAUUACCAUAAUUUAAUUUCAAUAAAAAUUUUUUGAAUGUUAAAAAAAAUGUAAUAAACAUAUAAAAGGUUACAAAUUUUGUAUGA
Nasonia vitripennis (jewel wasp) is the source of this 2741-nucleotide RNA transcript. RefSeq lists it as uncharacterized. The record is from RefSeq and is a predicted model, not a curated record. The transcript is spliced from 7 exons. Lineage: Eukaryota; Metazoa; Arthropoda; Insecta; Hymenoptera; Pteromalidae.